CAUGCUGCGGGUUUUUUGGCAUGGUAAAGUUCACCUUGGCCUGAGAGUUUUCCCUUUUCUCCGGCUUCAAUGACUGGAGCAGCACCCCAUAAUGUGGUCAUGUUCAUCCCUUGCUAAACCAUAUCUGGUUUCAACGCAUCAAGAUGGCAACUGGACUUCAAAGUGGACUUCACAAACCAAUGCUUUAUGUCACGCUGGAUACGUCUUUUAUCAAACCAAGCCGGAAUUGACUUGUUUGAGUUUGGACUCCUUCAUGAAGACAGGAGAAGUUUCACAGAACAACCUGGACUUGGUUGCCUGUUUGAAGGGCCCGUAAGUCACAAAUCCCCUUAAAACCCCCUGGAGUCACUGAGGAUGUAUCAGGCCCCUGGAUCUGUUCUAUGCAGGGCUGGUGACGGGCUCUAGUCCGGAGCCAGCCAGGGGGAAGAGGACAGCUACUGUGAGGGCGCCCGGAGAGCCGGGAGUCACUCAGCCACAGAAACCCUGUGUUUGUGUAUGGAGCGCAGUGCUCUUAUCUCCCGCCUGUACUGACGCCACACUCUUCCUGUUUCAAAUCUUUACUGCUGAUUUUCUCUUCACUCUUGCCUCAGCCCCAGCCAGUCCUGUUGUUUUUUGGUGUUCUUGUUCUUUUCAGUGGAGAUUAGAUAGAGCUGCUCUGGCGACAUAAGAGACAGAAGCAUAGCUGGUUUGGAUGUGAGCUAAUAUUUUGUGCUUAUCACGAAAUAAUAGCCUGUUCGGG
Maylandia zebra (zebra mbuna) is the source of this 739-nucleotide long non-coding RNA. RefSeq lists it as uncharacterized. The record is from RefSeq and is a predicted model, not a curated record. NCBI's taxonomy places the organism in Eukaryota, Metazoa, Chordata, Actinopteri, Cichliformes, Cichlidae.